CCCUUAGAUGUUCUGGGCUGCACGCGCGCUACACUGAUGCGUUCAACGAGUGUACAACCUUGCCCGAUAGGGUUGGGUAACCUUUUGAACACGCAUCGUGAUGGGGAUUGAGUAUUGCAAUUAUUACUCAUCAACGAGGAAUUCCUAGUAAUGAUGAAUCAUCAGUUCAUCGUGAUUACGUCCCUGCCCUUUGUACACACCGCCCGUCGCUCCUACCGAUUGAGCAAUCCGGUGAAUAUUUCGGACCUAGAAUUGUCGGGGCAACUCGUUCAGUUUUGGGAAAGUCAAGUUAACCUUAUUGCUUAGAGGAAGGAGAANUCGUANCA
Molecule: ribosomal RNA, 326 nt
Filed under: uncultured eukaryote
Lineage: Eukaryota
Description: partial 18S ribosomal RNA
Rfam family: Eukaryotic small subunit ribosomal RNA
Source: RNAcentral